UACGUAGGGGGCAAGCGUUGUCCGGAAUCAUUGGGCGUAAAGCGCGUGUAGGCGGCCCGGCAAGUCUGGUGUGAAAUCUUGAGGCUCAACCUCAAGCUGUCGCUGGAUACUGUCGGGCUCGAGUCCGGAAGAGGCGAGUGGAAUUCCUGAUGUAGCGGUGAAAUGCGCAGAUAUCAGGAGGAACACCAAUGGCGAAGGCAGCUCGCUGGGACGUGACUGACGCUGAGACGCGAAAGCGUGGGGAGCAAACAGG
RNAcentral lists this ribosomal RNA (253 nucleotides) under uncultured bacterium. Its description in RNAcentral is "partial 16S ribosomal RNA". It matches the Rfam family "Bacterial small subunit ribosomal RNA", at positions 524 to 776 of the family's 1533-position model. The record is from RNAcentral.